This 251-nucleotide ribosomal RNA is filed under the name uncultured prokaryote. RNAcentral's name for it is "partial 16S rRNA". It matches the Rfam family "Bacterial small subunit ribosomal RNA", at positions 525 to 775 of the family's 1533-position model. The record is from RNAcentral.
ACGUAGGAGGCAAGCGUUGUCCGGAUUUACUGGGUGUAAAGGGUCCGCAGGCGGACCUGUGAGUCGGUGGUGAAAUCCUCCAGCUUAACUGGAGAGCUGCCUCCGAUACUGCAGGUCUUGAAUCAAGAAGAGGGGGACGGAAUUCCAGGUGUAGCGGUGAAGUGCUUAGAUAUCUGGAAGAACACCGGUGGCGAAGGCUGUUCCCUGGUCUUCGAUUGACGCUCAUGGACGAAAGCGUGGGGAUCAAACAG